This 411-nucleotide long non-coding RNA is filed under the name Medicago truncatula (barrel medic). RNAcentral describes it as "lncRNA gene41949". The record is from RNAcentral. Lineage: Eukaryota; Viridiplantae; Streptophyta; Magnoliopsida; Fabales; Fabaceae.
CUUUGUUGAUCAUCACAUAAAAGAAAAAUGUUUUCCUCAGAUAAUUCUUUCUUCAGCCAAUCAAACAUUGUAAUAAAUACAGCAUUGUCUAUCUAAACCUGAAAGGAGGCACAUCAAACUUCUGUAGUCAGAAUUCCUAUAUUGUGAUUUCUAGAUCUCUACCAUGGAUAACCUUGAUUAUAAAUCACUCAUACCAAUUAAAUUAUACAUAUUGACUCUCACGUUUUCCCUCGAUGGAACUAUGAUUCUUUCCAUGCUCUGCUAGCCGCAAUACAUGAUGAAACAGAGGAGCUAUUGAGGAACUGUAAGUCAGCAACUCAAGCUAACUUCAUCCCAGAUUUCAUUUAGAAGACAGUUGGGUGUGGUCAGCAAAUAAAAGUAGACUGAAAAACACCAUUUACACCUCAGAUU